CCUCCCUGAAGCCUGAACUCAGCAGGCCCCAGCAAGCCAGGAAGGAGGCUGGCAGAGCUCCCUGCAGCAGACCAGACCAUCCAGCACAGCUUUUGUAAGGGAGGCAGUGGAUGUCCUGAAUCUGGGACUGGAGGCCAUGAUGGGUUGGAUGUGGGCUAAUAAACUGAGACUGAUUCUGGACAAGAUGAAGGGCCUCACAGCUCCUACAGUGAAAUAGAUGGAGGAUGUGUGACAACAGUGCUUGAUGGAGCCACAGUUACCACAGUGAGAGAGUGCUCAGAUGACUGCAAUGCUGCUUGUGAUGGGAAGAGGACUGUUGUUGGUAAACUCUGGAUCUGAAUGAUCUCUCGAUCUCCUUCUCUCUCUCCCUCUGUUUGGACACCAUUUGCAGAAAGCUAUUGAUGGUAUAAGAAAAUAAUGUUAAUCUAUGCUCAAGGCAGAUUUUCUCAUUUUGUGUAGAGCUCAGAUAUCUAGUGCUUUUCACUUAAAAUAAAGAUGUGCACCCCAAA
Molecule: long non-coding RNA, 509 nt
Organism: Hemicordylus capensis (graceful crag lizard)
Lineage: Eukaryota; Metazoa; Chordata; Lepidosauria; Squamata; Cordylidae
Exons: 3
Source: RefSeq, a predicted model, not a curated record